RNAcentral lists this transfer RNA (81 nucleotides) under Flavobacteriaceae bacterium. Its description in RNAcentral is "tRNA-Tyr". It matches the Rfam family "tRNA". Rfam says of the family: Transfer RNA (tRNA) molecules are approximately 80 nucleotides in length. Their secondary structure includes four short double-helical elements and three loops (D, anti-codon, and T loops). Further hydrogen bonds mediate the characteristic L-shaped molecular structure. tRNAs have two regions of fundamental functional importance: the anti-codon, which is responsible for specific mRNA codon recognition, and the 3' end, to which the tRNAs corresponding amino acid is attached (by aminoacyl-tRNA synthetases). tRNAs cope with the degeneracy of the genetic code in two manners: having more than one tRNA (with a specific anti-codon) for a particular amino acid; and 'wobble' base-pairing, i.e. permitting non-standard base-pairing at the 3rd anti-codon position. The record is from RNAcentral. Lineage: Bacteria; Pseudomonadati; Bacteroidota; Flavobacteriia; Flavobacteriales; Flavobacteriaceae. RNAcentral also lists the same sequence under 1 other name.
GGUGAGAUACUCAAGUGGCCAACGAGGGCAGACUGUAAAUCUGCUACGAAAGUUUCGGAGGUUCGAAUCCUCCUCUCACCA